RNAcentral lists this ribosomal RNA (248 nucleotides) under uncultured Actinomycetes bacterium. Its description in RNAcentral is "uncultured actinobacterium partial 16S ribosomal RNA". It matches the Rfam family "Bacterial small subunit ribosomal RNA", at positions 32 to 276 of the family's 1533-position model. Lineage: Bacteria; Bacillati; Actinomycetota; Actinomycetes. The record is from RNAcentral.
AAUCAACGCUGGCGGCGUGCCUAACACAUGCAAGUCGAACGCGAAAAUUCCUUCGGGGAUGAGUAGAGUGGCGUCCGGGUGAGUAACACGUGGGUGACCUGCCCUUAGCUCUGGGAUAAGCCUGGGAAACUGGGUCUAAUACCGGAUAUGACUCCAUGACGCAUGUUGUGGGGUGGAAAGCCUUGUGCGGCUGGGGAUGGGCCCGCGGCCUAUCAGCUUGUUGGUGGGGUGAUGGCCUACCAAGGCGA